Molecule: ribosomal RNA, 253 nt
Filed under: uncultured bacterium
Lineage: Bacteria
Description: partial 16S ribosomal RNA
Rfam family: Bacterial small subunit ribosomal RNA
Source: RNAcentral
UACGGAGGGUGCAAGCGUUAUCCGGAUUCACUGGGUUUAAAGGGUGCGUAGGCGGCCCGUUAAGUCAGUGGUGAAAUCCCAGGGCUCAACCCUGGAACUGCCAUUGAUACUGACGGGCUUGAGUUCGGUUAAGGCGGGCGGAACUGGUGGUGUAGCGGUGAAAUGCAUAGAUACCACCAAGAACCCCGAUUGCGUAGGCAGCUCGCUGAGCCGAAACUGACGCUGAGGCACGAAAGCGUGGGGAGCGAACAGG